This 253-nucleotide ribosomal RNA is filed under the name uncultured bacterium. RNAcentral's name for it is "partial 16S ribosomal RNA". It matches the Rfam family "Bacterial small subunit ribosomal RNA", at positions 524 to 776 of the family's 1533-position model. The record is from RNAcentral.
UACGGAGGAUCCAAGCGUUAUCCGGAAUCAUUGGGUUUAAAGGGUCCGUAGGCGGUCUUAUAAGUCAGUGGUGAAAUCUCUCCGCUCAACGGGGAAACGGCCAUUGAUACUGUAAGACUUGAAUUAUUGGGAAGUAACUAGAAUAUGUAGUGUAGCGGUGAAAUGCUUAGAUAUUACAUGGAAUACCGAUUGCGAAGGCAGGUUACUACCAAUGGAUUGACGCUGAUGGACGAAAGCGUGGGGAGCGAACAGG